GGGGAUGUAGCAGUUGCACAAAUUUUUAAGUGUGCCAACUGGGCUGCAUGGGCUCAAGAAAUAAGUUACAGAGGCAAAAGAAGGACCCUUGGAGCUUAGG
Long non-coding RNA from Myotis brandtii (Brandt's bat), 100 nucleotides. RefSeq lists it as uncharacterized. The record is from RefSeq and is a predicted model, not a curated record. NCBI's taxonomy places the organism in Eukaryota, Metazoa, Chordata, Mammalia, Chiroptera, Vespertilionidae. The transcript is spliced from 3 exons.